GACGAACGCUGGCGGCGUGCUUAACACAUGCAAGUCGAGCGGAGCGGGGACGGGUGAGUAAAACGUGGAUAACCUCCUAUAAGACUGGGAUAACUUAGGGAAACCGGAGCUAAACCGGAUAAUACUAGAUUAAUCCUCGCUGCAUUAGCUAGUUGGUAAGGUAACGGCUUACCAAGGCAACGAUGCCUAGCCGACCUGAGAGGGUGAGCGGCCACACUGGAACUGAGACACGGUCCAGACUCCUACGGGAGGCAGCAGUAGGGAAUCUUCCGCAAUGGGCGAAAGCCUGACGGAGCAACGCCGCGUGAGUGAAGAAGGUCUUCGGAUCGUAAAACUCUGUUAUUAGGGAAGCGGUACCUAAUCAGAAAGCCACGGCUAACUACGUGCCAGCAGCCGCGGUAAUUC
Molecule: ribosomal RNA, 405 nt
Filed under: uncultured bacterium
Lineage: Bacteria
Description: partial 16S ribosomal RNA
Rfam family: Bacterial small subunit ribosomal RNA
Source: RNAcentral